AGGUCGUGAAGUGGACACUUGCGCAAUAAAUCCUUAUAACUCUUUCAUGUCUCGUAUAAUGAUUCACCCUUAAAUUGGGUGAAGGUAGUGAUAUCAUUCCUUAGUUU
Molecule: small nucleolar RNA, 107 nt
Organism: Juglans microcarpa x Juglans regia
Lineage: Eukaryota; Viridiplantae; Streptophyta; Magnoliopsida; Fagales; Juglandaceae
Source: RefSeq, a predicted model, not a curated record